Molecule: long non-coding RNA, 195 nt
Organism: Pipistrellus kuhlii (Kuhl's pipistrelle)
Lineage: Eukaryota; Metazoa; Chordata; Mammalia; Chiroptera; Vespertilionidae
Exons: 3
Source: RefSeq, a predicted model, not a curated record
AGGCCUGGGCACCCCGGCAGUGGGGUGCCAGGGCGCCCCCAAUGGGACCCCACAGCCCUCACUGCCCGCAGGGAGUUGUGUGUGAUGCUUUGUUUCCUUAAUUGAAUUAGUGUUUUGGUGCACUUCACAUUUACAGUAAGUUUUAUAAUAGAUUUUAUAAUUACCAGCUUUCAAAAAUCACUUUAUUUAUAAUUU